GUUAUCAAGAAAGGUCGAGGGAUUAGACCCUAUGACGCCUUAGCAACCCUUAAUUCGUUAAGAAGGUGCUAAAUUCUACUGAUUCGUUUAUACCUAAUCAGAUAGAUAA
This 109-nucleotide non-coding RNA is filed under the name marine eukaryotic metagenome. RNAcentral's name for it is "SAM riboswitch (S box leader)". It matches the Rfam family "SAM riboswitch aptamer (S box leader)". Rfam says of the family: The SAM riboswitch is found upstream of a number of genes which code for proteins involved in methionine or cysteine biosynthesis in Gram-positive bacteria. The SAM riboswitch acts at the level of transcription termination control. The record is from RNAcentral.